ACCAACGGCCAAACUACGCAUGUGUAUACCGGUUCUCGUCCGAUCACCGAAGUCAAGCUGCGUUGGGCACGGAUAGUACUUAGAUGGGUGACCGCUUGGGAACUCCGUGUGUUGUUGGUU
Habropoda laboriosa is the source of this 120-nucleotide non-coding RNA. The record is from Rfam. Lineage: Eukaryota; Metazoa; Arthropoda; Insecta; Hymenoptera; Apidae.